GACGAACGCUGGCGGCGUGCUUAACACAUGCAAGUCGAACGGAAAGGCCCUGCUUGCAGGGUACUCGAGUGGCGAACGGGUGAGUAACACGUGGGUGAUCUGCCUCGUACUUCGGGAUAAGCUUGGGAAACUGGGUCUAAUACCGGAUAUAACCUUCCUUUAGUGUGGGGGGUGGAAAGUUUUUUCGGUACGAGAUGAGCCCGCGGCCUAUCAGCUUGUUGGUGGGGUAAUGGCCUACCAAGGCGUCGACGGGUAGCCGGCCUGAGAGGGUGGACGGCCACAUUGGGACUGAGAUACGGCCCAGACUCCUACGGGAGGCAGCAGUGGGGAAUAUUGCACAAUGGGCGCAAGCCUGAUGCAGCGACGCCGCGUGGGGGAUGACGGCCUUCGGGUUGUAAACCUCUUUCGCUAGGGACGAAGCCAUYCUUUGGGGGUGGUGACGGUACCUGGAUAAGAAGCACCGGCUAACUACGUGCCAGCAGCCGCGGUAAUACGUAGGGUGCGAGCGUUGUCCGGAAUUACUGGGCGUAAAGAGCUCGUAGGUGGUUUGUCGCGUCGUCUGUGAAAUUCCGGGGCUUAACUCCGGGCGUGCAGGCGAUACGGGCAAUACUUGAGUGCUGUAGGGGAGACUGGAAUUCCUGGUGUAGCGGUGAAAUGCGCAGAUAUCAGGAGGAACACCAAUGGCGAAGGCAGGUCUCUGGGCAGUAACUGACGCUGAGGAGCGAAAGCAUGGGUAGCGAACAGGAUUAGAUACCCUGGUAGUCCAUGCCGUAAACGGUGGGCGCUAGGUGUAGGGGUCUUCCACGACUUCUGUGCCGUAGCUAACGCAUUAAGCGCCCCGCCUGGGGAGUACGGCCGCAAGGCUAAAACUCAA
This 874-nucleotide ribosomal RNA is filed under the name Corynebacterium sp. R-23186. RNAcentral describes it as "bacterial SSU rRNA". It matches the Rfam family "Bacterial small subunit ribosomal RNA", at positions 28 to 904 of the family's 1533-position model. The record is from RNAcentral. Lineage: Bacteria; Bacillati; Actinomycetota; Actinomycetes; Mycobacteriales; Corynebacteriaceae.